ACCGGCCCUCGCCUUGGCCUUUGCCUCCGCAGGAGAAGGGAGCCCAGGUCUCUCACGGCAGUGAAGAUUUAUUUCCGACUCAUUUCAUAGUCCUGUGGGCUGCAGCAGUGGGUUGGAGAUCCAGGCUCCUCAGUGUGAGGCCCGCACAAUCUCCAAGGAUGAGGAGGAGACACAGGGUUGGCAUACGAGGACAUUUCUAUCAUUCAUGCUCACUUAUCUCUGGCCAAGACUGGUCGCCUGAUCAGGUUAACUACAAGGAGGGUGGCGGGGCCUGGUGUAUAUGAGCCUUCACACCUCACAAGAGAGACCAGAGAGAAGAUAAUGGGGAGAAGAUACUUCAGACUAACUAUUGUCAUUAAAAGCCAUCCCACUAAAUAAGAGGGACAAACACCUAGG
This 396-nucleotide long non-coding RNA is filed under the name Suricata suricatta (meerkat). RNAcentral describes it as "lncRNA (ENSSSUG00005004326.1)". The record is from RNAcentral. Lineage: Eukaryota; Metazoa; Chordata; Mammalia; Carnivora; Herpestidae.